UACGUAGGUGGCAAGCGUUAUCCGGAAUUAUUGGGCGUAAAGAGUGAGUAGGCGGUCGAUAAAGUCUGUAGUUAAAAGCAGUUGCCCAACAACAGUCAGCUUCAGAAACUAAUCAACUAGAGUGCAGGAGAGGUAAACGGAAUUCCAUGUGUAGCGGUGAAAUGCGUAGAUAUAUGGAGGAACACCAGUGGCGAAGGCGGUUUACUGGCCUGUAACUGACGCUCAGUCACGAAAGCGUGGGGAGCAAAUAGG
This 252-nucleotide ribosomal RNA is filed under the name uncultured bacterium. RNAcentral describes it as "partial 16S ribosomal RNA". It matches the Rfam family "Bacterial small subunit ribosomal RNA", at positions 524 to 776 of the family's 1533-position model. The record is from RNAcentral.